This 610-nucleotide ribosomal RNA is filed under the name uncultured bacterium. RNAcentral's name for it is "bacterial SSU rRNA". The stretch from base 1 to 520 matches the Rfam family "Bacterial small subunit ribosomal RNA", at positions 338 to 873 of the family's 1533-position model. The record is from RNAcentral.
CCUACGGGAGGCAGCAGUAAGGAAUCUUCCACAAUGGACGAAAGUCUGAUGGAGCAACGCCGCGUGCAGGAUGAAGGCUUUCGGGUCGUAAACUGCUUUUAUAUGGGAAGAUUAUGACGGUACCAUAUGAAUAAGGACCGGCUAACUACGUGCCAGCAGCCGCGGUAAUACGUAGGGUCCAAGCGAUAUCCGGAAUUACUGGGCGUAAAGCGUGUGUAGGUGGAUUAAUAAGUGUGAUGCGAAAUCCGGCGGCUCAACCGUUUGGACUGUGUCGCAUACUGUUAGUCUAGAGGACGGCAGAGGUAAGUGGAAUUACGGGUGUAGCAGUGAAAUGCGUAGAUAUCCGUAGGAACACCAAUGGCGAAGGCAGCUUACUGGGCCACACCUGACACUGAGACACGAAAGCGUGGGGAGCGAACAGGAUUAGAUACCCUGGUAGUCCACGCCGUAAACGAUGCAUACUAUUAGUAUGGGGUAUCGACCCCCUGUGCUGAGAAGCUAACGCGAUAAGUAUGCCGCCGUCGGGAGGUACGAGCGCGACGACGUUAAACUAACAAAUAGUAAGUUAGACGGCGUGAGACGUGCCGACGGACGACGACGAGGGAGGAGG